AACGAACGCUGGCGGCAUGCCUAACACAUGCAAGUCGAACGAAGGCUUCGGCCUUAGGGGCGCACGGGUGCGUAACGCGUGGGAAUCUACACUUUGGUUCGGAAUAACAGAUGGAAACGGCAGCUAAUACAAGUUGAUCACGAAAGUCAAAAGAUUUCUCGCCAUAGGAUGGGGCCGCGUUGGAUUAGGCAGUUGGUGGUGUACAGGCAUACCAAGACGACGAUCCAUAGCUGGUCUGAGAGGAUGAUCAGCAGCAAUGGGACUGAGACACGGCCCAGACCGCGACGGAGGGGAGCAGUAGGGUGUAUUGUGCGCUGAGCGCAAGUGUAGUCCAGCAGCGCGGCGUAUGUGAGCAUGCGGGUAGGAUUGUAAAUCUGUCUUUCACGGGAAGAGAAUGACGGUACUGGGAAAAGAAGCCCCGGCUAACUCCGUG
RNAcentral lists this ribosomal RNA (433 nucleotides) under uncultured bacterium. RNAcentral's name for it is "partial 16S ribosomal RNA". It matches the Rfam family "Bacterial small subunit ribosomal RNA", at positions 29 to 507 of the family's 1533-position model. The record is from RNAcentral.